GACGAACGCUGGCGGCGUGCUUAACACAUGCAAGUCGAACGGAAAGGCCCUGCUUGCCGGGUACUCGAGUGGCGAACGGGUGAGUAACACGUGGGUGAUCUGCCCUGCACUUCGGGAUAAGCCUGGGAAACUGGGUCUAAUACCGGAUAGGAGCCAUUUUUAGUGUGAUGGUUGGAAAGUUUUUUCGGUGUAGGAUGAGCUCGCGGCCUAUCAGCUUGUUGGUGGGGUAAUGGCCUACCAAGGCGGCGACGGGUAGCCGGCCUGAGAGGGUGGACGGGCACAGUGGGACUGAGAGACGGCCCAGACUCCCACGGGAGGCAGCAGUGGGAAAGAUUGCACAAUGGGCGCAAGCCUGAUGCAGAGACGCCGCGUGGGGGAUGACGGCCUUGGGGUUGGAAACGCAUUUCGCUAGGGACGAAGCUUUUUGUGACGGUACCUAGAUAAGAAGCACCGGCUAACUACGUG
This 465-nucleotide ribosomal RNA is filed under the name uncultured bacterium. RNAcentral's name for it is "partial 16S ribosomal RNA". It matches the Rfam family "Bacterial small subunit ribosomal RNA", at positions 28 to 507 of the family's 1533-position model. The record is from RNAcentral.